GACGAACGCUGGCGGCGUGCCUAAUACAUGCAAGUAGAACGCACAGUUUAUACCGUAGCUUGCUACACCAUAGACUGUGAGUUGCGAACGGGUGAGUAACGCGUAGCUAACCUGCCUGGUAGCGGGGGAUAACUAUUGGAAACGAUAGCUAAUACCGCAUAAUAUUGAUUAUUGCAUGAUAAUUAAUUGAAAGGUGCAAUUGCACCACUACCAGAUGGACCUGCGUUGUAUUAGCUAGUAGGUGAGGUAACGGCUCACCUAGGUGACGAUACAUAGCCGACCUGAGAGGGUGAUCGGCCACACUGGGACUGAGACACGGCCCAGACUCAUACGGGAGGCAGCAGGAGGGAAUCGGCGGCAAUGGAUGAAAGUCUGACCGAGCAACGCCGCGUGAGUGAAGAAGGUUGUCGGAUCGUAAAGGUCUGUUGUAAGAGAAGAACGGGUGUGAGAGUGGAAAGUUCACACUGUGACGGUAUCUUAAGAGAAAGGGGCGGCUAACUACGUG
RNAcentral lists this ribosomal RNA (505 nucleotides) under uncultured bacterium. RNAcentral's name for it is "partial 16S ribosomal RNA". It matches the Rfam family "Bacterial small subunit ribosomal RNA", at positions 28 to 507 of the family's 1533-position model. The record is from RNAcentral.